This 443-nucleotide ribosomal RNA is filed under the name uncultured bacterium. RNAcentral's name for it is "partial 16S ribosomal RNA". It matches the Rfam family "Bacterial small subunit ribosomal RNA", at positions 338 to 795 of the family's 1533-position model. The record is from RNAcentral.
CCUACGGUGUGCUGCAGUGGGGAAUAUUGCACAAUGGGCGAAAGCCUGAUGCAGCAACGCCGCGUGAAGGAAGACAGGUUUCUGCUCGUAAACUCCUAUCAACAGGGACGAAAAAAAUGACGGUACCUGCAUAAGAAUCCCCGGCUAACUACGUGCCAGCAUCCGCUGGAAUACGUAGGUGGCAAGCGUUAUCCGGAAUUACUGGGUGUAAAGGGUGAUUAGACGGCCAUGCAAGCCAGGGGUGAAAGCCCGGGGCCCAACCCCGGGACUGCACUUGGCACUGGCUGGCUGGAGUGCGGGAGGGGCAGGCGGAAUUCCUGGUGUAGCGGUGAAAUGCGUAGAUAUCAGGAGGAACACCGGCGGCGAAGGCGGCCUGCUGGACCGCGACUGACGUUGAGGCUCGAAAGCGUGGGGAGCGAACAGGAUUAGAUACCCUUGUAGUC